AACGAACGCUGGCGGCGUGCCUAACACAUGCAAGUCGAGCGAGAAAGUCCCUUCGGGGGCGAGUAGAGCGGCGGACGGGUGAGUAAUACAUGGGUAAUCUACCUUCGAGAUCGGGAUAACUCUGCGAAAGCGGAGCUAAUACCGGAUAAGACCACGUAACCAUGUUACGGGGUAAAGGUGGCUUAUUUUUAAAUGAGCUAUCACUUGAGGAUGAGCCUGUGGCCUAUCAGCUUGUUGGCGGGGUAAGAGGCCCACCAAGGCUAUGACGGGUAACUGGUCUGAGAGGACGACCAGUCACACUGGGACUGAGACACGGCCCAGACUCCUACGGGUGGCAG
This 338-nucleotide ribosomal RNA is filed under the name uncultured Bacillota bacterium. RNAcentral describes it as "bacterial SSU rRNA". It matches the Rfam family "Bacterial small subunit ribosomal RNA", at positions 29 to 351 of the family's 1533-position model. Lineage: Bacteria; Bacillati; Bacillota. The record is from RNAcentral.